UACGUAGGGUGCAAGCGUUAAUCGGAAUUACUGGGCGUAAAGCGUGCGCAGGCGGUUGUGUAAGCCAGAUGUGAAAUCCCCGGGCUCAACCUGGGAACUGCAUUUGUGACUGCACAGCUGGAGUGCGGCAGAGGGGGAUGGAAUUCCGCGUGUAGCAGUGAAAUGCGUAGAUAUGCGGAGGAACACCGAUGGCGAAGGCAAUCCCCUGGGCCUGCACUGACGCUCAUGCACGAAAGCGUGGGGAGCAAACAGG
This 253-nucleotide ribosomal RNA is filed under the name uncultured bacterium. Its description in RNAcentral is "partial 16S ribosomal RNA". It matches the Rfam family "Bacterial small subunit ribosomal RNA", at positions 524 to 776 of the family's 1533-position model. The record is from RNAcentral.